CGGGAGCCUUGCCCGCAGGCUGCGCGCCUUCUGCGCGGCUCUUACAGUCUGAGUCACAGGGCCCCCGGGGAUCCGGACUUUGCCUGGUUCCGGUAAGGACUGAGAGGGAGCCCACUGUGGCUCUGUGCUUGAGCACCCUCUCCAGAAUCCGCUGACUCGGGAAUAAAGGCAGUGUUUGCCUCACCUUCCUAAUCUUUUAUCUGCUCAUGGAGAAUGAACUUGGGGAAGACGGGGUGCAUCGUCUGCUGGUCCCGCCUCCAUGGGUGGGCGGUGGUGGGAGGAGCUGAAGGCUAGGCUCCCCCUACGUAGGCUGCAGGUGGGCUGGAGGGGGAGCCUGGCGGCCUGAUCGGGGUUACUCUCCAGGACUUUGUUCCGCUUCUCAGGGCCCAGAGUUCAUGCCACACGUCUCCUGGAAGCUAGUGGGCCCCUGAAGCAUCAUGCUGUGUUCUGGCCCUGCCUUCACCCAUCCCUCCCACUGGGGCUUUUGCUUCCACUUUCAACUGUAUCAGACUUUAUUCCCUCUCGGUUCCCCUAUCCUGAGCGGUCCUUGCCAGACUGGCCCUUUUGGGAAAAAAAAGGUGGGAGAACGGGCCCAGCACCCGCUGGAGAGCAGCACUGGACCAGGAGAUGGGGAUGGAGCUGGGCUGAGGUUGGGCCCUGGGCAUGGGUGGCAUGGGCUGGAAGUUCAGAGAAGGAGAGGAGCCCCUGGGUGGCCAUGGAUGCCUCCUUAAACCUCUGAGCCUCAUUUUCCCCAGCCGCCUGCUGGUGGGGAUUCUGCAGAGCUGGACUAGCUCAGCCUUCCUGUUGUGGGUCCCAGGUCUGCACACAGGCCUGAGGAGUGCAGAUGAAGCCAGGGCAGCGGGGGCAAGGUGAGAGCCAGUCCUGGGCUCUGCUGCCAGCUGUUCCUCUUCUCAGUCUGGGAUUUUGAUGGAAGAGGGGUCACUUGUUCAGAGGUGGGGUUCUGGGCCAAGGGUGGGAGAGUGCCACACCGCACUGGAGACAGGCCAGUGCUGAGCAGAAAGGAGCACUUAUUAUAAAUUCCCUGAGGGGAGGGCAGCAUUUGAUCCGAUAAGAUCUAUCCUGGGCCCCCUAAUCCCCACGGCCAGCUCUCUGGUGACCCAGCACACCGUGAGGGGCCUUGAUGUGGGCCUCGGGUCUUUGCAGGGCUCCCCCUUCCCUCAGCCGCUGUCACAGCCCUGAAACCCCACCAGAGGGGUCGCCUGGCUUUGAUCCUAUAACAUUCCUGGGUUAAGCAAACACUCAUGAGGUGCUGCCAGCAGCUGACACUUCCUAGGGCUGUUCUGUGCAGCAGGCUUUGUUUUUUUGCAUUAUCUCUUAUUUAUAAAGGAAAUAAAUCCUCUUAACGGCCCAUCGACAGACUAGGAAACAGGAGCUCAGAGAGGUUAGGUAACUUGCCCAAGGUCACCCCGCGUGGGUGUGUGGGGGGUGGGUGGAACCUGGGUGGAACCUUGCCUACGUGCUGAUGGGGUGGGGAGCACCUGAUUCAUCUUUCAAACCCCACCCUAAUCCUGGUGGGACCCCUGAAAACUGGCUCAAUGAAGCUGAUUAACUAGGCAGCUGAGAUGGAGGGGAAGGGAGGCUGCUCUUGGGGGUCCUGGAUUCAAACUCUGCUCUGCCAUGAAAGAGCUGUGUGCCCGUGGGCAAGUCCCUUUACCUCUCUGAGUUUCAGUGUCCUCCUCUAUCAAAUAGGGUACUAGGGUGUGAUUGAAAAAAUAUGCUGUGAGAAUUCAGGGUAACUUGGGGUGGAGAUCAGGAAGAGGUGCAUCAGGCAGGACCUUCCCCACCUGUGCCCCCGGCCCAGCAGACCCCAGAGCCUGAGUCCUGCUGCAAGUGGCCUGCUCUUUCAUCCUGCAGAGAGCAAAGUGAGCCCCGAGAAGGCCCUGGAACACCCUGCAUCACACAGCAGAGGAAGCCCAGAGAGGUGGACGGCAGUGUUCUGGAUCUGGCUUCACCUGCUAUGGCUGGAGCCUGGUCAAGGCGGCUCUUUCAGCUGGGGGCUCCCGCCUGAUACCACUCGCAGUACCCCGAGCCUAGCCCUUCUUGGGUAUCACAGUGAUAUCGAGGGGUGCUGGGGGUCUUCUGUGCCUUCCGUUUUUUUUUUGUUUUUUUGUUUUUUAUGUAUGUACUGCUACAUGCAGCAGGGCUGUUUAUUUAUUUAAGACACUUCAUUUUUUUCAAGUAAUUUUCAGGUUACAGAAAACCUGAGCAGAAGGCACAGAGUUCCUAUAUACCCCUUGGCCUCUGCCCGCCUCCGCAGUGUUGCCCAUUGUUAAUAGCUUGCAUGGGCUGGUGCCUUUGUUACAACUGAUGAGCCAAUACUGAUACAUUUUCACUAACUCAAGUCCCCGCUUUACAAUGGGGUUGACACUAUGUUUUUACGCUUUGAAGGUUGUGACAAAUGAAUAAUGACAUGUAUCCCCCCUACAGCAUCCUGCAGGACUGUUCCACUGUCCUAAAAAGUCUCUGCCAUCCAUUUGUUCAUCCAACCCCCCCCCCCCCGCCCUAUGCCCUUGAACGCCUGGCAACCACAGAUUUUUUUUUUUUUUUUUUUACCAUCUCCACAAUUUUGCCUUUAUCAGGAUGCAUUGCUGUUGUAAUCAUACAGUACAAAGCCUUUUCAGAAUGACCCCUCUCAUUUAGCAGGACGCAUUUCUAAGCUUCUUCUGUGUCUCUUUGUUACUUGAUAGCUCAUUUCUUUUUAUCACCGGCCCGACCCUCAUUUCCUGUAACUUUUGCUGUAAUUGCUCAGCAGCGUCCGGGGUUUUGUUGUUGAUUCUCUGGAAUUUUCUACGUGGAUGAUCAGGUUAUCUGUGAACAGAAGCAGUCGUAUCUCCUCCUUCCACAUCCGUGGACAUUUUUUAGCCCUUACUCGGCUGGCUGCGUUAGCUAGGGCUUCCUGAGGGAUGCUGGAAAGGUGGGAUAGGAGGGGACCUUCUGGCUUUCAAACGGAGCGCUUAACCCAAGAGGUACAUCCAGCUUGGGCCUUGGCAGGAUUCCCCGAGGCCCGUGUGCCCUGGUGCCUGUUGACUCCCUGUAAACUGGGAUGCAGCCCCCACCCGCGCCCCGUCCCGGCGAGGCUGGCCGGGGAAGAGCAGGGGUGAGACGGUAAAGCGCCCCCUCAGAUCCCGAGCGUGGCAAGGUCUGUAAUGAAUGAGCAGUUCAGCAUCCCUGAUGGCAUCGCGUCUCGUCUGCCCCACCUUCCCCUCCCGGUUGGUCCACCGUCCCGUUUGUAGGGGUGUCGUGCCCUUAGUCACACCUUGGCUGGGGGAGACACCCUCCCUGCCCACUCUCUGCCCUGCUCCACCUCCUCUGCUGCCACAUGUUCAGGAGCUUUUAAUUCAAAAGGUGCUCAUACAAAAUGUUCGCUAAAAAUAAAGCCGUCAAACAUUCCUGGAUGUGGUGUGCUAUUGUAGGGCUUAAAUACUUAUUAAAAAUGAGAGCUUACC
Molecule: long non-coding RNA, 3467 nt
Filed under: Sus scrofa (pig)
Lineage: Eukaryota; Metazoa; Chordata; Mammalia; Artiodactyla; Suidae
Description: lncRNA (ENSSSCG00000054069.1)
Source: RNAcentral